This 289-nucleotide ribosomal RNA is filed under the name uncultured Acidobacteriota bacterium. RNAcentral's name for it is "uncultured Acidobacteria bacterium partial 16S ribosomal RNA". The record is from RNAcentral. Lineage: Bacteria; Pseudomonadati; Acidobacteriota.
CUACUGGGGUAUCUAAUCCCGUUUGCUCCCCUAGCUUUCGCGCCUCAGCGUCAAGAACAGGCCAGGUAGUCGCCUUCGCCACUGGUGUUCCUCCCGAUAUCUACGCAUUUCACCACUACACCGGGAAUUCCACUACCCUCUCCUGCCUUCGAGUCGAUCAGUAUCGCGUGACCCUCCCCAGUUGAGCCGGGGGCUUUCACACGCGACUUGAACGACCGCCUGCGCGCUCUUUACGCCCAGUAAAUCCGGACAACGCUUGCCACCUACGUAUUACCGCGGCUGCUGGCAC